This 3128-nucleotide long non-coding RNA is filed under the name Salmo salar (Atlantic salmon). RNAcentral describes it as "lncRNA (ENSSSAG00000110789.1)". The record is from RNAcentral. Lineage: Eukaryota; Metazoa; Chordata; Actinopteri; Salmoniformes; Salmonidae.
UGUCCAGUACCACACCUAUAAAUCUAACCCAUAUGUCCAGUACCACACCUAUAAUACUAACCCAUCGGUCCAGUACCACACCUAUAAUACUAACCCAUCUGUCCAGUACCACACCUAUAAUACUAACCCAUUUUUCCAGUACCACACCUAUAUUACUAACCCAUCUGUCCAGUACCACACGUAUAAUACUGCCCAUAACCCAUCUGUCUAGUACCACACCUGUAAUACUAACCCAUCUGUCCAGUACCACACCUAUAAUACUAACCCAUCUGUCCAGUACCACACCUAUAAUACUAACCCAUCUGUCCAGUACCACACCUAUAAUACUAAACCAUCUGUCCAGUACCACACCUAUAAUACUACCCAUGACCCAUCUGUCUAGUACAACACCUAUAAUACUAACCCAUCUGUCCAGUACCACACCUAUAAUACUACCCAUAACCCAUCUGUCUAGUACCACACCUAUAAUACUAACCCAUCUGUCCAGAACCACACCUAUAAUACUAACCCAUCUUUCUGGUACCACACCUAUAAUACUACCCAUAACCCAUCUGUCUAGUACCACACCUUUAAUACUAACCCAUCUGUCUAGUACCACACCUAUUAUACUACCCAUAACCCAUCUGUCUAGUACCACACCUAUAAUACUACCUAUAACCCAUCUGUCUAGUACCACACCUAUAAUACUAACCCAUCUGUGCAGUACCACACCUAUAAUACUAACCCAUCUGUCUAGUUCCACAUCUAUAAUACUACCCAUAACCCAUCUGUCCAGUACCACACCUAUAAUACUAAUCCAUCUGUCUAUUACCACACCUAUAAUACUAACCCAUCUGUCCAGUAACACACCUAUAAUACUAACCAUAACCCAUCUGUCUAGUACCACACCUAUAAUACUACCCAUCUGUCCAGUACCACACCUAUAAUACUAACCCAUCUGUCUAGUACCACACCUAUAAUACUACCCAUAACCCAUCAUUCUAGUACCACACCUAUAAUACUACCCAUAACCCAUCUGUCUAUUACCACACCUAUAAUACUACCCAUAAUCCAUCUUUCUAGUACCACACCUGUAAUACUAACCCAUCUGUCCAGUACCACACCUAUAAAUCUAACCCAUAUGUCCAGUACCACACCUAUAAUACUAACCCAUCGGUCCAGUACCACACCUUUAAUACUAACCCAUCUGUCCAGUACCACACCUAUAAUACUAACCCAUUUUUCCAGUACCACACCUAUAUUACUAACCCAUCUGUCCAGUACCACACGUAUAAUACUACCCAUAACCCAUCUGUCUAGUACCACACCUGUAAUACUAACCCAUCUGUCCAGUACCACACCUAUAAUACUAACCCAUCUGUCCAGUACCACACCUAUAAUACUAACCCAUCUGUCCAGUACCACACCUAUAAUACUAAACCAUCUGUCCAGUACCACACCUAUAAUACUACCCAUGAACCAUCUGUCUAGUACAACACCUAUAAUACUAACCCAUCUGUCCAGUACCACACCUAUAAUACUACCCAUAACCCAUCUGUCUAGUACCACACCUAUAAUACUAACCCAUCUGUCCAGAACCACACCUAAAAUACUAACCCAUCUUUCUGGUACCACACCUAUAAUACUACCCAUAACCCAUCUGUCUAGUACCACACCUAUUAUACUACCCAUAACCCAUCUGUCUAGUACCACACCUAUAAUACUAACCCAUCUGUCCAGUACCACACCUAUAAUACUACCUAUAACCCAUCUGUCUAGUACCACACCUAUAAAACUAACCCAUCUGUGCAGUACCACACCUAUAAUACUAACCCAUCUGUCUAGUUCCACAUCUAUAAUACUACCCAUAACCCAUCUGUCCAGUACCACACCUAUAAUACUAAUCCAUCUGUCUAUUACCACACCUAUAAUACUAAUCCAUCUGUCUAGUACCACACCUAUAAUACUAACCCAUCUGUCCAAUACCACACCUAUAAUACUAACCCAUCUAUCUAGUACCACACCUAUAAUACUAACCCAUCUGUCCAGUACCACACCUAUAAUACUACCAAUAACCCAUCUGUCCAGUACCACACCUAUAAUACUACCCAUAACCCAUCUGUCCAGUACCACACCUGUAAUACUAACCCAUCUGUCCAGUACCACACCUAUAAGACUACCCAUAACCCAUCUGUCUACUACCACACCUAUAAUACUAACCCAAUUUCAAAUCUGCUGUCAGACUUUCUAGAAUAAAUAACAAUAAAAAUUAUAUUCCUUAAUCAAUCUUUCUGCUACCAGACGAUGAAUGGAGGGAUCUCUGAAACCAGGAUAGAGAAGAGGAUUGUCAUCUCCAGAGAAGCAGGAGAUUUUGACCAUGAUCAGUGACAACAGACAUACAGUUUUUCCUCAUUGAUCUACACACGAUACCCCAUAAUGACAUCACAAUACCCCAUAAUGACAUCACAAUACUCCAUAAUGACAAAGCAAAAGCAGGUUUUUAGAAUUUUUUGCAAAUGUAUUACAAAAAAAUAAAUGAAAUAUUACAUUUUCAUAAGUAGACCCUUUUAGUCAGUACUUUGUUGAAGCACCUUUGGCAGCGAUUACAGCCUCAAGUCUUCUUGGGUAUGACGCUACAAGCUUGGUACGCCUGUAUUUGGGGAGUUUCUCACAUUCUUCUCUGCAGAUCCUCAGCGUCGCUGCACAGCUAUUUUCUGGUCUCUCCAGAGAUGUUCGAUCGCGUUCAAAUCCAGGCUCUGGCUGGAUCACUCAAGGACAUUCAGAGACUUGUCCCGAAGCCACUCCUGCGUUGUCUUGGCUGUGUGAUUAUUGUCGUUGUCUUGUUGGAAGGUGAACUUUCGCCCCAGUCCGAGGUUCUGAGUGCUCUGGAGCAGGUUUUCAUCAAGGAUCUCUCUGUACUUUGCUCCGUUCAUCCUUGCCUCCAUCCUCACUAGUCUCUCAGUCCCUGCCGCUGAAAAACAUCAGCACCACCAUGCUUCACCGUAGGGAUGGUGCCAGGUUUCCUCCAGACGUAACACUUAGCAUUCAGGCCAAAGAGUUCAAUCUUGGUUUCAUCAGACCAGAGAAUCUUGUUUCUCAUGUUCUGAGAUUCUUUAGGUGAUUUUUGGCAAACUCCAAGCGGGCUGUCA